Molecule: long non-coding RNA, 1323 nt
Organism: Papaver somniferum (opium poppy)
Lineage: Eukaryota; Viridiplantae; Streptophyta; Magnoliopsida; Ranunculales; Papaveraceae
Exons: 3
Source: RefSeq, a predicted model, not a curated record
CUCAAAAACCCGUUUAAUUCCCCCCUGCAAUUUAGGGUUAUGAUUUAGGAUACAAACAGUGGCCGUGAUGGAGUUUUGGUAAUGAUGCUUUAACCCAACAAGGGGAAGGUCUUCUCCGUCAGUUUCAGUAGGUGUACACUGAUCCACCGUUCUUUGUGUUCUAAAACAGAGAUGCCAAAACCGCUACAAUCCAGAUUGACAUGAACGUGUCACAACUUCCUUUUGUUUCUCAUUAUUUUGCCUAGGUUUCUUCUAUUUCUCGCUAUUUUGCCUACUUGUCUUCUACACAAGUUGUUCAUAUAACUUCCCAAACGAGUAAAAAACUGCAUAUCAGUUCCAACAAUUAGUUACCCUCUAAUUAUUCUUUCUCUUCCGGCCAUGAAGAAGAGACAUGUUUCACCAUCUAACUAAUUCGUCUUUAUGUCUGUGUUUCGAGAGUUCAAUGGAUUUUGUUUUAAUUUCAUCUCAUUUAUUCUAACUGUUUUCUUUCUACAGAAAAUUGAAAGAAACAACGUUAUUUUUGCAAGGGAUUCCUUUUUGCAAUGAAUCAAAUUUUUCCAGGGAGGUACUAUAACAAAUUCGUGUUUUGUUUUCUUUACAGAUUUAUUUUGGGCGUUAAUUGUUUGAAGACUUCAUGCAAAUAUAAGAGAGGAAGAACCAAUUAAUGGGCGCGGAUGCUGGUAGUGGUAGGUGGGCGGUAGAAGUGGAAGCUUUGCACUGUGGACGAAUUUAUGAGAAUUGAUGCACCUCUUUUUCAAAUGAUCUAUACUCUUUUGAGAGAUCGCUGAAUUUUCCAUACAUUGCCCUACUUUUCCGAAAAAUUGUUGGCAGGAACUAUUUUAUUCUAUCGUUAAUUAAACUUAUGGAGUUGUGUUUUCGAGUCUGAGUUGUUCUAUGUUAACUAUACUCAUCAUAAGUUCUCAUGCUUACUGGUCAUGUUACUGACUAUUUCAAUAUCCUUCAUGCCCGACUAUUUCAAUAUCCUUCAUGCCUGUCACUUGCUCGAGAAAUUAGUCACCCUCUGGAAAGACAUUCAUCGGGUGCAGAAGGUAAUGUUGAAGAGUAUGUGAAUAGGCUGUUGGCAGUUUAGUUGUGCUUCACUUCACGACUGUGAAGAAAUCGUAAAGUAAGCGCAACCUGAACCGGAUAUAAAGGAACGAUAUUAGACAAGAGGUUCCACUGUAAAAAUCAAUUCUAUUAAAUAUUCAAUUGCAAAGAACGACACAAGAUGCUGGGUGUAAAGUCAAAUGCAUCCAAUUUUUGGAAUGAGAAACUUUGCAGCAAACAGAAAGUGUGCUAAUGGAAGGGUCAACAAAGGUAGAU